This 370-nucleotide ribosomal RNA is filed under the name uncultured organism. RNAcentral describes it as "bacterial SSU rRNA". It matches the Rfam family "Bacterial small subunit ribosomal RNA", at positions 526 to 896 of the family's 1533-position model. The record is from RNAcentral.
CGAAGGGGGCUAGCGUUGCUCGGAAUCACUGGGCGUAAAGCGCACGUAGGCGGCUUUCUAAGUCAGGGGUGAAAUCCUGGAGCUCAACUCCAGAACUGCCUUUGAUACUGGAGAGCUUGAGUCCGGGAGAGGUGAGUGGAACUCCGAGUGUAGAGGUGAAAUUCGUAGAUAUUCGGAAGAACACCAGUGGCGAAGGCGGCUCACUGGCCCGGUACUGACGCUGAGGUGCGAAAGCGUAGGGAGCAAACAGGAUUAGAUACCCUGGUAGUCCACGCCGUAAACGAUGGAUGCUAGCCGUUGGCGGGUUUACCCGUCAGUGGCGCAGCUAACGCAUUAAGCAUCCCGCCUGGGGAGUACGGUCGCAAGAUUA